This 462-nucleotide ribosomal RNA is filed under the name uncultured bacterium. Its description in RNAcentral is "partial 16S ribosomal RNA". It matches the Rfam family "Bacterial small subunit ribosomal RNA", at positions 28 to 507 of the family's 1533-position model. The record is from RNAcentral.
GACGAACGCUGGCGGCGUGCUUAACACAUGCAAGUCGAGCGGAAAGGCCCUUCGGGGUACUCGAGCGGCGAACGGGUGAGUAACACGUGAGUAACCUGCCCCAGACUUUGGGAUAACCCUCGGAAACGGGGGCUAAUACCGGAUACGACACAGCUUCGCAUGGGGUCUGUGUGGAAAGUUUUUCGGUUUGGGAUGGGCUCGCGGCCUAUCAGCUUGUUGGUGGGGUGAUGGCCUACCAAAGCGACGACGGGUAGCCGGCCUGAGAGGGCGACCGGCCACACUGGGACUGAGACACGGCCCAGACUCCUACGGGAGGCAGCAGUGGGGAAUAUUGCACAAUGGGCGGAAGCCUGAUGCAGCGACGCCGCGUGAGGGAUGACGGCCUUCGGGUUGUAAACCUCUUUCAGCAGGGACGAAGCGUAAGUGACGGUACCUGCAGAAGAAGCGCCGGCCAACUACGUG